AUUGAACGCUGGCGGCAGGCCUAACACAUGCAAGUCGAGCGGUAGAGAGGUGCUUGCAUCUCUUGAGAGCGGCGGACGGGUGAGUAAUGCCUAGGAAUCUGCCUAGUGGUGGGGGAUAACGUUCGGAAACGGACGCUAAUACCGCAUACGUCCUACGGGAGAAAGCGGGGGAUCUUCGGACCUCGCGCCAUUAGAUGAGCCUAGGUCGGAUUAGCUAGUUGGUGAGGUAAUGGCUCACCAAGGCGACGAUCCGUAACCGGUCUGAGAGGAUGAUCAGUCACACUGGAACUGAGACACGGUCCAGACUCCUACGGGAGGCAGCAGUGGGGAAUAUUGGACAAUGGGCGAAAGCCUGAUCCAGCCAUGCCGCGUGUGUGAAGAAGGUCUUCGGAUUGUAAAGCACUUUAAGUUGGGUAGGAAGGGUAGUAACCUAAUACGUUGCUACUUUGACGUUACCGACAGAAUAAGCACCGGCUAACUUCGUGCC
This 487-nucleotide ribosomal RNA is filed under the name uncultured bacterium. Its description in RNAcentral is "bacterial SSU rRNA". It matches the Rfam family "Bacterial small subunit ribosomal RNA", at positions 30 to 509 of the family's 1533-position model. The record is from RNAcentral.